Molecule: ribosomal RNA, 939 nt
Filed under: Deconica chionophila
Lineage: Eukaryota; Fungi; Basidiomycota; Agaricomycetes; Agaricales; Kuehneromycetaceae
Description: partial large subunit ribosomal RNA
Rfam family: Eukaryotic large subunit ribosomal RNA
Source: RNAcentral
GCAUAUCAAUAAGCGGAGGAAAAGAAACUAACAAGGAUUCCCCUAGUAACUGCGAAGUGAAGCGGGAAAAGCUCAAAUUUAAAAUCUGACGGUCUUUUGGUCGUCCGAGUUGUAAUCUAGAGAAGUGUUAUCCGCGUUGGACCGUGUACAAGUCUCCUGGAAUGGAGCGUCAUAGAGGGUGAGAAUCCCGUCUUUGACACGGACUACCAGUGCUUUGUGAUGCGCUCUCAAAGAGUCGAGUUGUUUGGGAAUGCAGCUCAAAAUGGGUGGUAAAUUCCAUCUAAAGCUAAAUAUUGGCGAGAGACCGAUAGCGAACAAGUACCGUGAGGGAAAGAUGAAAAGAACUUUGGAAAGAGAGUUAAACAGUACGUGAAAUUGCUGAAAGGGAAACGCUUGAAGUCAGUCGCGUUGUCCGGGAAUCAACCUUGCUUUUGCUGGGUGUACUUUCCGGUUGACGGGUCAGCAUCAAUUUUGACCGUUGGAUAAAGUGUAGGGGAAUGUGGCAUCUUUGGAUGUGUUAUAGCCCUUGCUCGCAUACAACGGUUGGGAUUGAGGAACUCAGUACGCCGCAAGGCCGGGAAUUUAUUCUACGUUCGUACUUAGGAUGCUGGCAUAAUGGCUUUAAUCGACCCGUCUUGAAACACGGACCAAGGAGUCUAACAUGCCUGCGAGUGUUUGGGUGGAAAACCCGAGCGCGUAAUGAAAGUGAAAGUUGAGAUCCCUGUCGUGGGGAGCAUCGACGCCCGGACCAGACCUUUUGUGACGGAUCUGCGGUAGAGCAUGUAUGUUGGGACCCGAAAGAUGGUGAACUAUGCCUGAAUAGGGUGAAGCCAGAGGAAACUCUGGUGGAGGCUCGUAGCGAUUCUGACGUGCAAAUCGAUCGUCAAAUUUGGGUAUAGGGGCGAAAGACUAAUCGAACCAUCUAGUAGCUGGUUCUGC